RNAcentral lists this ribosomal RNA (468 nucleotides) under uncultured bacterium. RNAcentral's name for it is "partial 16S ribosomal RNA". It matches the Rfam family "Bacterial small subunit ribosomal RNA", at positions 28 to 507 of the family's 1533-position model. The record is from RNAcentral.
GACGAACGCUGGCGGCGUGCUUAACACAUGCAAGUCGAACGGAAAGGCCCUGCUUUUGUGGGGUGCUCGAGUGGCGAACGGGUGAGUAACACGUGAGUAACCUGCCCUUGACUUUGGGAUAACUUCAGGAAACUGGGGCUAAUACCGGAUAGGAGCUCCUGCUCCAUGGUGGGGGUUGGAAAGUUUCGGCGUUUGGGGCUAGACUCGCGGCUUAUCCGCUUGUUGGUGGGGUAGUGGCUUACCAAGGGUUUGACGGGUAGCCGGCAUGAGAGGGUGACCGGCGACCUUGGGACUGAGGGACGGCCCAGAAUGCUACGGGAGGCAGAAGUGGGGAAUAUUGCACAAUGGGCGGAAGCCUGAUGCAGCAACGCCGCGUGCGGGAUGACGGCCUUCGGGUUGUAAACCGCUUUCGCAUGUGACGAAGCGUGAGUGACGGUAAUGGGUAAAGAAGCACCGGCUAACUACGUG